GUCCCCACUAACUUUCCUCACUCUAGCCACACCCAACUAACUCUUCAGCUGAAGGGUAUAGCUUAGAACUUCUUGUCCCAGAGUCUUUGUGUCUGCAUGCUGGUCUAUCUCCUAGAGCGCCCUUCCCCCCCCCACCACCAUUUGACCUGUACGAUCUCAUCCUUCAGGAUAAAUGAAGACUAGCCAAAGAAGAACAAAAUUCAUUUAUUCUGAGCCUGCUAUAGCAACACAGCCAACCGCCAUUGCUUAGUUCUGGUAGACAGAGGAAGGCAGGGGAGGAAAAAGGAUUUAGAGCAGGAUAAAGAAAAACCUGGGCUCUGUCUCAAACGGAGACGGCUGUUGUGGGGAGGCUGAAAGGAGCAGAGCCUUCCAAUUCCAGGUGAGAGGAGAUCCUUCCAACUCGCAGAUGAAGCCAGAUCCUCAGGUCUCAGGUUCAGCCUGUCAGGGAUUUGACAUCUGCUUCGGGAUGUCAUCCUGGGGUACAUUUUCUUCUAAACAGAAUCACCGACAGCAUCUCACAAAAUAUUCCACCGGGCUCUGGUGCCGCCCAUUUAGCAAGAAGAUUGCUUGAGCUGAGCCCCAGCAUAAACCUGCCAGCUGUAACAUAUCUUGCUGGUCUGACCCAGUGAUGACCCAGAGUACUCUUCUGUCUAGGCUGUUUUCUUUUAUUUUCUAUCCUCUGAAGAGUGUCAGAAUUCUGCCUGGUAAGCAAUAAAUCCAUCUUUUUGGUGAUCAAUUGUGGUGACUGGCUGCAAAGCCUGGAAAUCCAAUUAACUGCAAAAUAAAUAGAAUUAAAAAAAAUUUUUUAAAUCCACCAAAGCUGUGGCAUAAGUCAGCUAAGGAGAUGCUCUGG
RNAcentral lists this long non-coding RNA (853 nucleotides) under Rattus norvegicus (Norway rat). Its description in RNAcentral is "long non-coding RNA NONRATT033700". The record is from RNAcentral. Lineage: Eukaryota; Metazoa; Chordata; Mammalia; Rodentia; Muridae.